GACCAGACUCCUACGGGAGGCAGCAGUGGGGGAUAUUGCACAAUGGGGGGAACCCUGAUGCAGCGACGCCGCGUGGGUGAAGAAGCGCCUCGGCGCGUAAAGCCCUGUCAGCAGGGAAGAAAAUGACGGUACCUGACCAAGAAGCCCCGGCUAACUACGUGCCAGCAGCCGCGGUAAUACGUAGGGGGCAAGCGUUAUCCGGAUUUACUGGGUGUAAAGGGAGCGUAGGCGGCAGUGCAAGUCCGGAGUGAAAGCCCGGGGCUCAACCCUGGGACUGCUUUGGAAACUGUAAAGCUGGAGUGCGGGAGGGGCAGGCGGAAUUCCUGGUGUAGCGGUGAAAUGCGUAGAUAUUAGGAGGAACACCAGUGGCGAAGGCGGCCUGCUGGGCUUUUACUGACGCUGAGGCUCGAAAGUGUGGGGAGCAAACAGGAUUAGAUACCCGAGUAC
RNAcentral lists this ribosomal RNA (447 nucleotides) under uncultured bacterium. RNAcentral's name for it is "partial 16S ribosomal RNA". It matches the Rfam family "Bacterial small subunit ribosomal RNA", at positions 329 to 793 of the family's 1533-position model. The record is from RNAcentral.